This 544-nucleotide ribosomal RNA is filed under the name Ampagia sp. ARC3408. RNAcentral's name for it is "partial 16S ribosomal RNA". It matches the Rfam family "Bacterial large subunit ribosomal RNA", at positions 1832 to 2631 of the family's 2925-position model. Lineage: Eukaryota; Metazoa; Arthropoda; Insecta; Coleoptera; Curculionidae. The record is from RNAcentral.
CCUAUUGAUAAUAAUUUUAGGUCGGAUCUGCCCAAUGAUUAAUAUUAAAUGGCCGCAGUAUUUUGACUGUGCAAAGGUAGCAUAAUCAUUAGUUUCUUAAUUAGAAGCYUGUAUGAAAGAUUUGAUAAGAAAAAUGCUGUCUCUGUAAAAAUUUAUUAGAAGUUUAUUUUUAAGUUAAAAAGCUUAAAUAAAUAUAGAAGACGAGAAGACCCUAUAGAGUUUUAUAGUAAUUAAAUAAAAAUAGAUUUAGAAUUAGUUAGUAGAUUUAUUUAAAUAACUAUUUAAUUGGGGAGAUUAAAAAAUUUAAUAAACUUUUUUUAUAAAUUUUCCAUAGAUUUAUGAAUUUUUGAUCCUUAGUUUAAGAUUAAAAGAUAAAAUUACCUUAGGGAUAACAGCGUAAUUUUUUUUAAAGUUCAUAUUAAAAAAAAAGAUUGCGACCUCGAUGUUGGAUUAAAAUGAAUUAUUGGUGUAGAAGCUAGUAGAUUAGGUCUGUUCGACCUUUAAAAUUUUACAUGAUCUGAGUUUAAACCGGUGUAAGCCAGGU